This 152-nucleotide unclassified non-coding RNA is filed under the name Neoascochyta paspali. RNAcentral describes it as "partial internal transcribed spacer 2". Lineage: Eukaryota; Fungi; Ascomycota; Dothideomycetes; Pleosporales; Didymellaceae. The record is from RNAcentral.
GUACCUUCAAGCUCUGCUUGGUGUUGGGUGUUUGUCCCGCCUCUGUGCGUGGACUCGCCUUAAAGCAAUUGGCAGCCGACGUAUUGUUUCGGAGCGCAGCACAAAUUGCGCUUUGUAGCUAUUACGACAGCAUCCAUCAAGCCUUUUUUCAC